CCCUUAGAUGUUCUGGGCUGCACGCGCGCUACACUGAUGCGAUCAACAAGUUUUUCCUAUGUCGAUAGACACGGGUAAUCUUUUGAACUCGCAUCGUGAUGGGGAUAGAUUAUUUUAAUUAUUAAUCUUCAACGAGGAAUUCCUAGUAGGUGCAAAUCAUCAGUUUGCAUCGAUUACGUCCCUGCCCUUUGUACACACCGCCCGUCGCUGCUACCGAUUGGUUGAUCUGGUGAAUUAUUCGGACUGCCGGCUGAAGGGGUUUCCUCAUCUGCCAGCGGAAAGUCUUGUUAACCCUAUCAACUAGAGGAAGCAGAAGUCGUAACA
Molecule: ribosomal RNA, 324 nt
Filed under: uncultured eukaryote
Lineage: Eukaryota
Description: partial 18S ribosomal RNA
Rfam family: Eukaryotic small subunit ribosomal RNA
Source: RNAcentral